This 1275-nucleotide ribosomal RNA is filed under the name Triticum aestivum (bread wheat). RNAcentral's name for it is "partial small subunit ribosomal RNA". The record is from RNAcentral. Lineage: Eukaryota; Viridiplantae; Streptophyta; Magnoliopsida; Poales; Poaceae.
AUGGCAGCCCGAGACACCAGUUCAAUCUUCCUCAUCCUGAUCAUCUCCCUCGUCAUAGUCAUCGUCAUCCUGCUCGGCAUCUGCUGGAGGUUCCUCGGACCGGGCAUCAUGAGGAGACUGCUCAGGCCCAGGAGAUGUCCUUCAGAGGUGCCGGAGUACUUCAGCGGCAACAUGAGCGGCAACCUGCGUACCAUCACCUACUUCGACUACGUGACGCUCAAGAAGGCCACCAAGGAUUUCCACCAGAAAAACCAGCUGGGGAGGGGAGGAUUCGGCCCUGUUUAUCUGGGGAAGCUGGACGACGGCCGGAAAGUGGCGGUGAAGCAGCUGAGCGUGGGCAAGUCGGGGCAGGGCGAGUCGGAGUUCUUCAUGGAGGUGAACAUGAUCACCAGCAUCCAGCACAAGAACCUGGUCCGCCUCGUCGGCUGCUGCUCCGAGGGCACGGAGCGCCUGCUCGUCUACGAGUACAUGAAGAACAAGAGCCUCGACAAGAUCCUCUUCGCGGCGGCCGACGCGCCGGCGCCGACGCCGCCGUCCCUGGACUGGCGCACCCGGCACCAGAUCAUCAUCGGCAUCGGCCGCGGCCUGCAGUACCUGCACGAGGAGUCCAACCUGCGCAUCGUCCACCGCGACAUCAAGGCCAGCAACAUCCUCCUCGACGACAAGUUCCAGCCCAAGAUCAGCGACUUCGGCCUCGCCCGCUUCUUCCCCGAGGACCAGACCUACCUCAGCACCGCCUUCGCCGGCACGCUGGGGUACACGGCGCCGGAGUACGCCAUCAGAGGGGAGCUCACGGUGAAGGCCGACACGUACAGCUUCGGCGUGCUGGUGCUGGAGAUCAUCAGCAGCCGGAAGAACACCGACCUCAACCUCCCCAACGAAAUGCAGUACCUGCCCGAACACGCAUGGAGGCUGUACGAGCAGUCCAAGAUCCUGGAGCUGGUGGACGGCAGGGUGCAGGGCGGCGAGGGGUUCGAGGAGAAGGAGGUGAUGCAGGUGUGCCAGAUCGCGCUGCUCUGCGUGCAGCCGUACCCGAACUCGAGGCCGGCCAUGUCGGAGGUGGUGCGCAUGCUCACCAUGAAGACCGACCAGUCCAUCCCGGCGCCCGCCAAGCCGGCGUUCCUCGACCGGAAGAACCUCAACGGGGACAGGGACGCCGCCUCCUCGGACACCGCCACCAUGGAGAUGAUGAGGUCGCCGGCGGGCUACUGGAUGAUGACGCCCUCGCCCAUGCUCGAGGUCGACAGGCCCUACGACAUGAGCUUCGGCAAAUGA